UGUGUGUGUGUGUGUGUGUGUGUGUGUGUGUUUGUGUGUAUAUAUAUAUCUUACCUCAGAAAUCUCAUCUUCCAUGAGUCUAAUGAUCCCUAAUACACACACACACACACACACACACACACACACA
This 127-nucleotide microRNA precursor is filed under the name Marmota monax (woodchuck). The record is from RNAcentral. Lineage: Eukaryota; Metazoa; Chordata; Mammalia; Rodentia; Sciuridae.